GACAGAGGGGGCAAGCGUUGCUCGGAAUCACUGGGCGUAAAGGGCGCGUAGGCGGGAUGGCAAGUCAGUCGUGAAAUCUCUCGGCUCAACCGAGAAACGUCGGCUGAUACUGCCGUUCUUGAGGGAUGCAGAGGAGACUGGAAUUCUCGGUGUAGCGGUGAAAUGUGUAGAGAUCGGGAGGAACACCGGUGGCGAAGGCGGGUCUCUGGACAGUUCCUGACGCUGAGGCACGAAGGUCAGGGGAGCAAACGGG
Molecule: ribosomal RNA, 253 nt
Filed under: uncultured bacterium
Lineage: Bacteria
Description: partial 16S ribosomal RNA
Rfam family: Bacterial small subunit ribosomal RNA
Source: RNAcentral